Molecule: unclassified non-coding RNA, 326 nt
Filed under: fungal sp.
Lineage: Eukaryota; Fungi
Description: partial internal transcribed spacer region
Rfam family: Eukaryotic small subunit ribosomal RNA (bases 1-46)
Source: RNAcentral
AAGUCGUAACAAGGUUUCCGUAGGUGAACCUGCGGAAGGAUCAUUAGCAAAUCUGGUUUUUGGGGGUUGAGGAUAUAAGAUAGUGUAAGGGCUGUUUUAUAUUCCUUGAUACCAAACACACAUUGACUCGGGCGUUGUGUAAAUGUGUGGUGAUGCCGAGAUUGGUAUGUGUUUGCUGCUUGCGGUGAGCAUAAGCACCAUAUCUCAUAGCAUCAAACACGCUUGUACAACUUGCCUUGAGCAAUAUUCACGCAUGUUUUGUUUGACUGAAUAACAUUAUACAAUUAAAACAACGACAACUUUUAACAAUGGAUCUCUUGGCUCUC